RNAcentral lists this ribosomal RNA (478 nucleotides) under uncultured bacterium. Its description in RNAcentral is "partial 16S ribosomal RNA". It matches the Rfam family "Bacterial small subunit ribosomal RNA", at positions 28 to 523 of the family's 1533-position model. The record is from RNAcentral.
GACGAACGCUGGCGGCGUGCUUAACACAUGCAAGUCGAACGGUAAGGCCCUUCGGGGUACACGAGUGGCGAACGGGUGAGUAACACGUGGGUGAUCUGCCCUGCACUUCGGGAUAAGCCUGGGAAACUGGGUCUAAUACCGGAUCGGACCACUGCCUGCAUGGGUGGGGGUGGAAAGCUUUUGCGGUGUGGGAUGGGCCCGCGGCCUAUCAGCUUGUUGGUGGGGUGAUGGCUGACCAAGGCGACGACGGGUAGCCGGCCUGAGAGGGUGACCGGCCACACUGGGACUGAGAUACGGCCCAGACUCCUACGGGAGGCAGCAGUGGGGAAUGUUGCACAAUGGGCGCAAGCCUGAUGCAGCGACGCCGCGUGAGGGAUGACGGCCUUCGGGUUGUAAACCUCUUUCAGCACCGACGAAGCGCAAGUGACGGUAGGUGCAGAAGAAGGACCGGCCAACUACGUGCCAGCCGCCGCCGUAA